Molecule: ribosomal RNA, 497 nt
Filed under: uncultured bacterium
Lineage: Bacteria
Description: partial 16S ribosomal RNA
Rfam family: Bacterial small subunit ribosomal RNA
Source: RNAcentral
GAUGAACGCUGGCGGCGUGCCUAAUACAUGCAAGUCGAGCGAACGGACGAGAAGCUUGCUUUUCUGAUGUUAGCGGCGGACGGGUGAGUAACACGUGGAUAACCUACCUAUAAGACUGGGAUAACUUCGGGAAACCGGAGCUAAUACCGGAUAAUAUUUUGAACCGCAUGGUUCAAAAGUGAAAGACGGUCUUGCUUUCUCUUAUAGAUGGAUCCGCGCUGCAUUAGCUAGUUGGUAAGGUAACGGCUUACCAAGGCAACGAUGCGUAGCCGACCUGAGAGGGUGAUCGGCCACACUGGAACUGAGACAGGGUCCAGACUCCUACGGGAGGCAGCAGUAGGGAAUCUUCCGCAAUGGGCGAAAGCCUGACGGAGCAACGCCGCGUGAGUGAUGAAGGUCUUCGGAUCGUAAAACUCUGUUAUUAGGGAAGAACAUAUGUGUAAGUAACUGUGCACAUCUUGACGGUACCUAAUCAGAAAGCCACGGCUAACUACGUG